This 372-nucleotide ribosomal RNA is filed under the name uncultured organism. RNAcentral's name for it is "partial 16S ribosomal RNA". It matches the Rfam family "Bacterial small subunit ribosomal RNA", at positions 527 to 896 of the family's 1533-position model. The record is from RNAcentral.
AGAGAGUGCAAGCGUUAAUCGGAAUAACUGGGCGUAAAGCGCGCGUAGGUGGAUACUUUAGUCGGAUGUGAAAGCCCCAGGCUUAACCUGGGAAUUGCACUCGAUACUGGGUAUCUAGAGUAUAGUAGAGGGAAGUGGAAUUUCCGGUGUAGCGGUGAAAUGCGUAGAUAUCGGAAAGAACACCAGUGGCGAAGGCGGCUUCCUGGACUAAUACUGACACUGAGGUGCGAAAGCGUGGGGGAGCAAACAGGAUUAGAGACCCUGGUAGUCCACGCCGUCAACGAUGAGAACUAGACGUUGGAGGGGCGACCCCCCUUUAGUGUCGAAGCUAACGCGUUAAGUUCUCCGCCUGGGGAUACGGCCGCAAGGUUA